AAUUACGUCAAUUGCGCGCGUCUUGUGUGUUAUCAGUGUUCACAGUUCAGUAAAGUUGUGUCUGUCGCUGUAGUCAACCCCCUUUCCCACCUAAACGUACACUCACACGAACAACCAAUAACAACAGCUGCUGCAGUAGGCACUGACUGUUUAGCCGUAGCCAGUUUUAAUGUCAGCGCCCUAGCGAAAUGCAAACAUCGACGCCGUCGAGCACUGAG
Cinara cedri is the source of this 218-nucleotide non-coding RNA. The record is from the annotation of a GenBank genome assembly. NCBI's taxonomy places the organism in Eukaryota, Metazoa, Arthropoda, Insecta, Hemiptera, Aphididae.